AGUGAACGCUGGCGGUAGGCCUAACACAUGCAAGUCGAACGGCAGCACAGUAAGAGCUUGCUCUUACGGGUGGCGAGUGGCGGACGGGUGAGGAAUACAUCGGAAUCUACUUUUUCGUGGGGGAUAACGUAGGGAAACUUACGCUAAUACCGCAUACGACCUACGGGUGAAAGCAGGGGAUCUUCGGACCUUGCGCGAUUGAAUGAGCCGAUGUCGGAUUAGCUAGUCGGCGGGGGAAAGGCCCACCAAGGCGACGAUCCGUAGCUGGUCUGAGAGGAUGAUCAGCCACACUGGAACUGAGACACGGUCCAGACUCCUACGGGAGGCAGCAGUGGGGAAUAUUGGACAAUGGGCGCAAGCCUGAUCCAGCCAUACCGCGUGGGUGAAGAAGGCCUUCGGGUUGUAAAGCCCUUUUGUUGGGAAAGAAAAGCAGCAUGUUAAUACCCCGCUGUUCUGACGGUACCCAAAGAAUAAGCACCGGCUAACUUCGUG
RNAcentral lists this ribosomal RNA (492 nucleotides) under uncultured bacterium. RNAcentral's name for it is "partial 16S ribosomal RNA". It matches the Rfam family "Bacterial small subunit ribosomal RNA", at positions 29 to 507 of the family's 1533-position model. The record is from RNAcentral.